GACGGAGGGUGCUAGCGUUGUUCGGAAUCACUGGGCGUAAAGGGCGCGUAGGCGGCCUCAUGUGUCGGAUGUGAAAGCCCGGGGCUCAACCCCGGAGGUGCAUCCGAAACUCUGGGGCUGGAGGUCGGAAGAGGAGGGUGGAAUACCCAGUGUAGAGGUGAAAUUCGUAGAUAUUGGGUGGAACACCGGUGGCGAAAGCGGCUCUCUGGUCCGGACCUGACGCUGAGGCGCGAAAGCGUGGGGAGCAAACAGG
This 253-nucleotide ribosomal RNA is filed under the name uncultured bacterium. RNAcentral describes it as "partial 16S ribosomal RNA". It matches the Rfam family "Bacterial small subunit ribosomal RNA", at positions 524 to 776 of the family's 1533-position model. The record is from RNAcentral.